This 253-nucleotide ribosomal RNA is filed under the name uncultured bacterium. Its description in RNAcentral is "partial 16S ribosomal RNA". It matches the Rfam family "Bacterial small subunit ribosomal RNA", at positions 524 to 776 of the family's 1533-position model. The record is from RNAcentral.
UACGUAGGAGGCAAGCGUUGUCCGGAAUUACUGGGCGUAAAGCGCGUGUAGGUGGUGGGACAGGUCUGCUGUGAAAGCGCCUGGCUUAACCGGGCGAGGUCGGCGGAAACUGUCCGACUAGAGGACGGUAGAGGGGGGUGGAAUUCCCGGUGUAGUGGUGAAAUGCGUAGAGAUCGGGAGGAACACCUGUGGCGAAGGCGGCCCCCUGGGCCGGCCCUGACACUGAGACGCGAAGGCGUGGGGAGCGAACGGG